This 87-nucleotide transfer RNA is filed under the name Trapelus agilis (brilliant ground agama). Its description in RNAcentral is "tRNA-Gln". Lineage: Eukaryota; Metazoa; Chordata; Lepidosauria; Squamata; Agamidae. The record is from RNAcentral.
ACCAAACAACUAUACCUAGAGAAAGAGGACUCGAACCUCCAUCAAAAAAUCCAAAAUUUUCCGUAUUCCCACCUAUACUAUUCACUA